RNAcentral lists this long non-coding RNA (952 nucleotides) under Anas platyrhynchos platyrhynchos (common mallard). RNAcentral's name for it is "lncRNA (ENSAPLG00000021072.1)". The record is from RNAcentral. Lineage: Eukaryota; Metazoa; Chordata; Aves; Anseriformes; Anatidae.
UUACUCCUCCUUCAGUCCUCCUGCUUCUUGCCUAUAUCUGUGUGCAUGUGUGAAAGAAUUACUUCUUUUUUUUUUUUCUUACUAGUUGCUUGUGAAGCUUUUUCACACACCUAAUUUCUUUCUCGCAUCUUUAAGGCAGUUGCAUGUGUAUUUUUGUGUUGGUUUCAGUUGAUGUAGGUGACUGUUUUGAAAGCUAACUGCUAAACAGCUUACCAUGUAAAUAUAAACAUUUAUUUUUUCUUGCCUUCUGCUUCCUCUUUGUGUCAAAAUAUCCCCACUAUAUUAUGAUGUUGUGGCUCUGUGGAUGUUAAGAACAGCUAGUUAUUUCUAGCAUCAUGCCAGCCAUGUGAUUUCAGCCCUGAAGUGCCAGGUGAGCUGCAGCACAUCUUUUGUAAAGGCAUUCAUUCUUACUAAAAAGACAUCUGUUUAUCACAUGCACUGCUCUCAGGUCGUUAAUUUUAACCUAUUAUUCAUUUUACUCGUUUUUUUUUUUUUUUUAAUAAAUGCAUUUGUCCAAUUUCUAUUUCUAUUCACUCAUUACUUUUAUGGCUUUGCUUCCUAGAUGAAAGUCUACUGUUGUCAGGACUGUCACUGGUACUGGAAUGAGUUUUCUCUACCUUUUUUUGGGGUGGCUGUCUGCAGUUUUUCAUGCACAGUGCUACUUGGACCUUCAGUGCCCAAGUGAACAUUCGGAGUGCAGAACAGCCGAAUUGCUUCAAGAGCAAGAAGGUCGUCGGAGCAGGGCACUACAUCAAUUACUUCUGUAUCACGAUGAUGGAUACUGUGAAAACUGAGAGGCAAUGCAGGGAUUUUUUUGCGGUGCUAUUUGGAAACAUUUAAAAACUCCUCUCUGUGUACUUAUUGCUGGUCUGCUGUAUUCAAGCAAUGCUUUUAAACACCAGCAUCCAGCUACACAUGGGGACUGUGUGAACAUUAUUUUAUCCAUUGUGCU